UGAAGAACUUGUGCAACAUCGGUGGUAAUGAAACAAGCGGUUUGCCCAACAGAUGAGAUUACAAUGUGCAAAAUUGGGCAGGACUCACAUGGAGACUCGUGCAACUUAUUCUGAGACGAAAUUUGCCAGAUCAAACAUCAUGUCUUGCAGAUCUCCUCUCACUGCUGGUAAGAGUGUGAAGAACAGGGCGCUGAUCGUCUCUGUGGAAAACUUUUAUCCUGGGGCCUAUUUGUGCAGGAGAAUCGGUGUGAAGAGAGACAGUCGAAGGCUUUACAAGAUCCUCAGCGAACUGGGCUUUUCUGUGGACAUCAGACUGGACAUCGAGGCGGAGGAGAUUUAUCAAGCAUUUAAAGCUGAGAGCGAGCAGACGGUCAAAGAGUGCUUUGUGGGCAUCAUCUCCAGUCACGGUGAAGAAGGUGUUGUGUUUGGUUGUGAUGGACGUGCUGUGAAUCUGGCCGAGAUCUACAGCUGCUUCAGAAGCCCAAUAAUGAAGGACAAGAGCAAACUCUUCCUCAUCCAGGCUUGCAGAGGUGGAGAUUUGGAUGGAGGUGUGGAGCUGGAGACAGACUCUUCAUCCUCAGAGGAACAGGACAUCCUGUCUGAGCUUCUUUCCAUUCCUAUCGACACUGCAGUAACAUACGCCACUUCACCAGGCUACGCUGCAUUCAUGCAUCCUCUGGGCUCGGUGCUGAUUCAGACUCUCUGUGAUCUGCUGGAAAGCGAUGGAGGUCCAGAUCUGGAGAUCACCAAACUCCUGACUCGACUGAACCACCAGGUGGCCUACAACUUCCAGGCCAGAGGGAAAAUACUGGGCGGGAAAAAGCAGAUGCCGUGCUUUGUGACGCGCUUCACUAGAGAGGUUUUCCCAUUCAGGAAACCCAUCGAUGAACCCAGGAGAUCACGGAAAAGCUCCAUCAGCUGAAGAUCACAGAACAAAGACGGACUGGAGAUAAUACAUGUCAUGAAUGUACUUUUUCAUGUGCAAUCUUCUUUCAUGAACAUAACAUCGCAGUUGCAUCAGCAGCAGGAAGUCAACUGUUGGGACAAGCUAUGAACCUGAAAUCACACUGUUAUGAUGGACACACACUGAUAAUAUGAACAUAAUCCCAAUGAAAUCCUGAUUCGGGAAACACUUGAGUUAUGAUAAUCCUGAUUCACAUAUCGAAACUAAAGUAAAGCCCAGGAGCUCAUGUGAUGUGAAGCGACGUGCAGGAUUUCAACACAAGCACUAAUGUCAGGGUGCAUUUCACCGUCUGUCAGCUCCACUGAUGGACAUUGCUUGGGCUUUUUGGCUGCUCGGUAUGUUAAUUGCACGCUUUAAACUAGUGUUGAGUCAUUUUCUUGCAUUCAGUUGUUGCUUGGUAGACUAACAAUACAUAUAAACGAACAUUCAGGCUUUCCUAUGAUACAAAGAAACAAUUCAUCAUACAGUUGGAUUUAAAUGAUUAUAAUUUAAUAAUUAUAAUUUAAUAAUUAAUUUAAUAACCAACAACUUUUAUACAGCUUAAAGAAAUAGUGUGUCAACUAAAGCUGUCUGGUUCCUCCACUGAUGCUCUUCCACCAUACUUUUUAAAGCAAGUCUUUGACACAGUGGGUCCCUAUAUUACAGCUAUGGUAAAUCACUGUUUUAAAACUGGUAAUGUACCUGAUAUUUUAAAGCAUGCCACUGUAAAUCCUUUGCUGAAGCAACCAAAUUUGGAUCCAUCUGUUUUAGCCAAUUAUAAACCCAUUUCAAAGUUGUCUUUUAGUACAAAGAUUUUAGAAAAAGUAGUUCUGCAGCAACUGCAAAGGUUUUUAGAUGAUCAUAAAAUCUUUCAGUCAGGUUUUAAAAAAUAUCACUCAACUGAGACCGCAUGGGUGAAAGUUAAAAAAAUCUGGGCGUUAUCUUUGAUGAUGGCUUGAGAUUUGAUAAGCAGAUUAACGCAGUGGUCAAAUCCUGCUUUUUUCAGCUUCGACUUUUAAAAACGGUCAAACCUAUUGUCACACAAUUAGCGAUCGCUUCCCAGAGGAUCGCUGGUUCUCACACGAACUCUCAUGACUACAUUUCCGCAUUUCCCAGGACUACAUUUUCAUACAUGCACUGCUCCCAAACACGCACGCCUGCUCAUUCAUCUAUCCUGAUUGCAAUCCCCAGCUGGACCUUGUUCACAGACUGAUAUCACUCCAUUCAUAAGCCACUCUCUGACGCUUCCAGUUUGCUGAGUUUUCCCAGUGUGACAUUACGAAGCGUUUCUCCCUGUCUUGUUUCUUAGUGGUGGGCAAAGCGAGGCUUCGUGAAACACUGAAACAGUCGAAGCAAAUGUGUCGAAGC
Molecule: non-coding RNA, 2311 nt
Organism: Danio rerio (zebrafish)
Lineage: Eukaryota; Metazoa; Chordata; Actinopteri; Cypriniformes; Danionidae
Source: RefSeq, a predicted model, not a curated record